AGUGAACGCUGGCGGUAGGCCUAACACAUGCAAGUCGAACGGCAGCACAGUAAGAGCUUGCUCUUACGGGUGGCGAGUGGCGGACGGGUGAGGAAUACAUCGGAAUCUACUUUUUCGUGGGGGAUAACGUAGGGAAACUUACGCUAAUACCGCAUACGACCUACGGGUGAAAGCAGGGGAUCUUCGGACCUUGAGCGAUUGAAUGAGCCGAUGUCGGAUUAGCUAGUUGGCGGGGUAAAGGCCCACCAAGGCGACGAUCCGUAGCUGGUCUGAGAGGAUGAUCAGCCACACUGGAACUGAGACACGGUCCAGACUCCUACGGGAGGCAGCAGUGUGGAAUAUUGGACAAUGGGCGCAAGCCUGAUCCAGCCAUACCGCGUGUGUGAAGAAGGCCUUCGGGUUGUAAAGCCCUUUUGUUGGGAAAGAAAAGCAGCAGGUUAAUACCCCGCUGUUCUGACGGUACCCAAAGAAUAAGCACCGGCUAACUUCGUG
This 492-nucleotide ribosomal RNA is filed under the name uncultured bacterium. RNAcentral's name for it is "partial 16S ribosomal RNA". It matches the Rfam family "Bacterial small subunit ribosomal RNA", at positions 29 to 507 of the family's 1533-position model. The record is from RNAcentral.